AGCUGAACUACUUUGUGGGGGACAUAACAGAGGCGUGUAAUAUUUCGACCCCUAAUUUCCCUAAGCCCUUCCCUUCAGACACCUGGUGUUUGUGGUGGAUUCAAGCCAGCCUCUGCCAACAAGUGAAGGUGACUUUCCACACAUUUAACUUGAUGUACCGUAGCGAAGGUUCCUGCUAUUUCGACACUAUGGAAAUCAGAGACGAUGACCCUAUCAUGCCUGGAAGAGAGUACUGUGGCUGUGAGAUCGCAAAGGGGCAGGAAUUCAAGUCUCGGAACGGGAGCAUCUUCCUGUCCUUCCACGGGAAGUACCAGCAGCAGAGGGGCUUCAACGCCACAGUCGAGUUCAUAGAUGAUGCCGUUUGCAUCGAAAGAUUCAUGACCGGUGUGCAACAUUUAGUAUCGGCAGAUGAAAGAUAAAAAGUAAAUUUUAAAAGAAGGUGUGUACUCAAAAGAUAAAGGACUAAAAAAGGGGUGUACUACCUAGGCCCAUGUAUAACUAGGCCUAGAUUUAGCUAGACCAACAACUUAGGCCUAGGUUGUGAACUAGGCCUAGGGUCCUAGAUUGUGAACUAGGCCUAGAUGUAGCAAGAAUAUCUACCUAGACCUUUAUGAAAGGUAUGAGCCCUGUAACCUAUUUCAUUUAAGAUUAAAAUUUCAUUGUAAUAUAGCUUAUAAACAUUUUUAGAUAGUAAUUUAAGUGUAAAUAUGAUUUAUCGUUUUUACUGUUUUAACUGAAUUGCUUAAUUUGUUUUAAACAGCUGUCUUUAUAUUUACAUCACAGUCGGAAUAAAAUUUUUAUAAAAUC
This is a long non-coding RNA of Macrobrachium nipponense, 807 nucleotides long. RefSeq lists it as uncharacterized. NCBI's taxonomy places the organism in Eukaryota, Metazoa, Arthropoda, Malacostraca, Decapoda, Palaemonidae. The transcript is spliced from 3 exons. The record is from RefSeq and is a predicted model, not a curated record.